UUGUUGCUUUCCUACAACGAUAGCUUGUGAAUUCGGUCAGAGCUGGAAAGAAGCAGCCGUAGCAAGUGAUUCUCGUGUGUCUGGAUAUAGUACACAAAA
This 99-nucleotide signal recognition particle RNA is filed under the name Pantoea sp. Aalb. RNAcentral describes it as "Bacterial small signal recognition particle RNA". It matches the Rfam family "Bacterial small signal recognition particle RNA". From Rfam's summary of the family: The signal recognition particle (SRP) is a universally conserved ribonucleoprotein involved in the co-translational targeting of proteins to membranes. Archaeal SRP consists of a 7S RNA and homologues of the eukaryotic SRP19 and SRP54 proteins. The record is from Rfam by way of RNAcentral. Lineage: Bacteria; Pseudomonadati; Pseudomonadota; Gammaproteobacteria; Enterobacterales; Erwiniaceae.